AACCUCUUCCAGUAUCUGUGAAAGCACUAAAUCCAUUGUCCAAAAUAGCUCCCUCCAAAUGGGAGGUCGUUGAUGAGUCAGAGCUUGAGGCACAAGCUGUUACUGUAUCGAAGUGGGAGCUUCCAGAAAAUCAAGAAUCUGAAGAAGAAAAGAAAAUUAAAACAAAACAGGACAUUGAAGAGGAAGUCAGUCCCGAUGAAGCUGAUAGCAGCUCAGAUGAAUCUGUACCACAAGAUGAUUAUUCAGAUACAAAGAAUCUGCAGAAAAUGCUGGAAGCGUCUGAGGGGAAGAGAGCCAAACUGCGAGAAAUUG
Molecule: long non-coding RNA, 312 nt
Organism: Protopterus annectens (West African lungfish)
Lineage: Eukaryota; Metazoa; Chordata; Ceratodontiformes; Protopteridae
Exons: 3
Source: RefSeq, a predicted model, not a curated record